This 329-nucleotide ribosomal RNA is filed under the name uncultured eukaryote. RNAcentral describes it as "partial 18S ribosomal RNA". It matches the Rfam family "Eukaryotic small subunit ribosomal RNA", at positions 1470 to 1796 of the family's 1831-position model. The record is from RNAcentral.
CCCUUAGAUGUUCUGGGCCGCACGCGCGCUACACUGAUGCAUUCAACGGGUCUAAAACCUGCUCUGAUAGGGGUGGGUAAUCUUUUGAAUGUGCAUCGUGAUUGGGAUAGAUGAUUGCAAUUUUUCAUCUUCAACGAGGAAUGCCUAGUAAACGCAAGUCAUCAGCUUGCAUUGAUUACGUCCCUGCCCUUUGUACACACCGCCCGUCGCUCCUACCGAUUGAAUGAUCCGAUGAAUAUCAUGGAUUGAGGAUUAUAGCAGGUUCGCCUGUCUUGAUCUUCGAGAAGUGAAGUAAAUCUUAUCAUUUAGAGGAAGGAGAAGUCGUAACA